AGAGUUUGAUCCUGGCUCAGAACGAACGCUGGCGGCAUGGAUUAGGCAUGCAAGUCGAACGGGUUAUGCGCCGCAAGGUGUAUAACUAGUGGCGAAAGGGUGAGGAACACGUGAGUAACUUGCCCCCAAGUUGGGAACAACCCUCCGAAAGGAAGGCUAAUACCGAAUGUGGAUUCGUGGUCACAUGACUGUGUUUCUAAAGAUUUAUCGCUUGGGGAGGGGCUCGCGUCCCAUUACGCUUGUUGGUGAGGUAACGGCCCACCAAGGCUAUGACGGGUAGCUGGUCUGAGAGGAUGACCAGCCACACUGGGACUGAGACACUGCCCAGACUCCUACGGGAGGCUGCAGUCGAGAAUCUUCCGCAAUGGGCGAAAGCCUGACGGAGCAAUGCCGCGUGCAGGAUGAAGGCCCUCGGGUUGUAAACUGCUGUCAUCGGGGACGAAUAAAUGACGGUACCCGGAGAGGAAGCAACGGCUAACUACGUGCCAGCAGCCGCGGUAAUACGUAGGUUGCGAGCGUUGUUCGGAUUUAUUGGGCGUAAAGGGUUCGUAGGGGGUCGGCCAAGUCUGACGUGAAAUCCCGGAGCUUAACUCCGGAACUGCGUUGGAAACUAGUUGACUAGAGCGUCGGAGAGGGGAGUGGAAUUCCUGGUGUAGCGGUGGAAUGCGUAGAUAUCAGGAGGAACACCGAAAGCGAAGGCAGCUCCCUGGACGACUGCUGACCCUGAGGAACGUAAGCGUGGGGAGCAAACAGGAUUAGAUACCCUGGUAGUCCACGCCCUAAACGUUGCGCGUUUGAUGUGGGGGGGCUCAAUCCCUUCCGCACCGUAGCUAACGCGUUAAGCGCGCCGCCUGGGGACUACGGCCGCAAGGCUAAAACUCAAAGGAAUUGACGG
Molecule: ribosomal RNA, 895 nt
Filed under: uncultured bacterium
Lineage: Bacteria
Description: bacterial SSU rRNA
Rfam family: Bacterial small subunit ribosomal RNA
Source: RNAcentral